AUCGCUUCUCGGCCUUUUGGCUAAGAUCAAGUGUAGUAUGUAUAGAAUAAAUUUAGUCAAAGACCAAAUAAAUUAUUUGUGCCAAGGCCAAAAUGCGUGGCUAUAAUAAAGAAGAUUGGCUACAACUGUUAAUCUUAUCUAGACCUUCA
RNAcentral lists this small nuclear RNA (149 nucleotides) under Moschus moschiferus (Siberian musk deer). RNAcentral's name for it is "U2 spliceosomal RNA (ENSMMSG00000023545.1)". It matches the Rfam family "U2 spliceosomal RNA". Rfam says of the family: U2 is a small nuclear RNA (snRNA) component of the spliceosome (involved in pre-mRNA splicing). Complementary binding between U2 snRNA (in an area lying towards the 5' end but 3' to hairpin I) and the branchpoint sequence (BPS) of the intron results the bulging out of an unpaired adenosine, on the BPS, which initiates a nucleophilic attack at the intronic 5' splice site, thus starting the first of two transesterification reactions that mediate splicing. The record is from Rfam by way of RNAcentral. Lineage: Eukaryota; Metazoa; Chordata; Mammalia; Artiodactyla; Moschidae.